UGCGUAGGUGGUUUCUUAAGUCAGAGGUGAAAGGCUACGGCUCAACCGUAGUAAGCCUUUGAAACUGGGAAACUUGAGUGCAGGAGAGGAGAGUGGAAUUCCUAGUGUAGCGGUGAAAUGCGUAGAUAUUAGGAGGAACACCAGUUGCGAAGGCGGCUCUCUGGACUGUAACUGACACUGAGGCACGAAGGGCGUGGGGGAGCAAACA
This 208-nucleotide ribosomal RNA is filed under the name uncultured Romboutsia sp. Its description in RNAcentral is "partial 16S ribosomal RNA". It matches the Rfam family "Bacterial small subunit ribosomal RNA", at positions 568 to 774 of the family's 1533-position model. Lineage: Bacteria; Bacillati; Bacillota; Clostridia; Peptostreptococcales; Peptostreptococcaceae. The record is from RNAcentral.